CAACUUUCAGCAACGGAUCUCUUGGCUCUCGCAUCGAUGAAGAACGCAGCGAACUGUGAUAAGUAAUGUGAAUUGCGGAAUUCAGUGAAUCAUCGAAUCUUUGAACGCACCUUGCGCUCCUUGGUAUUCCGAGGAGCCUGCCUGUUUGAGUGUCCUUA
This 158-nucleotide ribosomal RNA is filed under the name uncultured Cortinarius. Its description in RNAcentral is "5.8S ribosomal RNA". It matches the Rfam family "5.8S ribosomal RNA". Rfam says of the family: 5.8S ribosomal RNA (5.8S rRNA) is a component of the large subunit of the eukaryotic ribosome. It is transcribed by RNA polymerase I as part of the 45S precursor that also contains 18S and 28S rRNA. Lineage: Eukaryota; Fungi; Basidiomycota; Agaricomycetes; Agaricales; Cortinariaceae. The record is from RNAcentral.